UUGUGAACUUCCCAAGCUUCACGCACGAAUGGUCAAAGAUAAUCUCUCCCGUUGUUGUUGAUAGCACGUGGGAACGAGUCACCAAAAGGACUAGAGAUGUCUACGUUCCCGUUCCGCGGGGACCCGCCCCCAAACGGGAAGGGGAUUCCCUGUUUAGAC
Cucurbita maxima (winter squash) is the source of this 159-nucleotide long non-coding RNA. RefSeq lists it as uncharacterized. The transcript is spliced from 2 exons. Lineage: Eukaryota; Viridiplantae; Streptophyta; Magnoliopsida; Cucurbitales; Cucurbitaceae. The record is from RefSeq and is a predicted model, not a curated record.